CUCCGCUGGAGUAAAGGGACGAUGCUGAACGGUGGGACUGAGCUGAUUACACCAACGCAAACGGCAGGACUUACCGGAACGACCAGGAAUUCCAGUGCUGAUCAAAGACCAAUUUCUGGGGCCAUGCUGUUCAACCAAUUUGAUUAAGGUAGCGUCCUCUUGAGGACUCCACGACCCCUUAACUCGAUUAUGAUUAUUAUUAUUGUUGUUUGAAUUUGUAUUGUUGUUGUGAUUUGGGAGGGCGAUUCCGAUCAAAACCAUGGCGGAAUUUGGAUUUGGAUUUUUAGGGUUUUGAAGUUUAAUUGAAGAAGAAGAAAGAGGAGAGAUAAAUGGGAGAUUUUUCUAACCGUUUCCAAACAGGGGUUGUUGGGCAUGAACCGUAAAACCGCUACUUCAAAUAACGACUUUCUCACUACUUCCACUUCUAACAAAU
Molecule: long non-coding RNA, 433 nt
Filed under: Cucumis sativus (cucumber)
Lineage: Eukaryota; Viridiplantae; Streptophyta; Magnoliopsida; Cucurbitales; Cucurbitaceae
Description: long non-coding RNA (CSAT_LNC001818)
Source: RNAcentral